CUAACCACUGUAUAAUCAUAAACCCUAUAAACAAAAGUGAGCUAUAGUAGUAAGUGAUAAACCUCAGAAAAAGAAAGCUAAUUAAGAUCAGAGAAAUGGCAGUUAAGGGUUUGAGUUUAGCCAUUUUGUUGAUUUGUAUUGUUGUGGCUUCUAGUGUGAAUGGAGCUUUUGGAGAAGCAAUCAAUUUUCAGGAAGCUUUGGUUCAUUGCAAUGGUGGUGUUGAAAAUCAAAAUUGCUGUAAAGUACUGAAUGCUGCUGUACAAAGGGAGCGUUAUUGCUGGUCUUCUCUUUUUGGACAGAUUUUCAUUGCUGAUCUCUUCAAGUGUGGUGUUAUGCCACAUUGUUGAGUAUUUGAUGGACUAGUCAAGGUUUGUCUAACUAGAGAGAAACUAGCCUGGUGUUUCGACCUUUGAUUUUCCACAAUGUCUUAUAGAAAGAAAAGAAAAAACAAAGUUGAGUCUUUGUGUUCCCUAUAUUACCUCAAUAUUACUUGUAACGUUUCUUUUUCGUGUAACUUUAUAAUGAAUGAAUAUUUGUUCGAUGCUAAUUGCAAGGAA
Molecule: long non-coding RNA, 557 nt
Organism: Nicotiana tabacum (common tobacco)
Lineage: Eukaryota; Viridiplantae; Streptophyta; Magnoliopsida; Solanales; Solanaceae
Source: RefSeq, a predicted model, not a curated record